Molecule: long non-coding RNA, 7580 nt
Filed under: Triticum aestivum (bread wheat)
Lineage: Eukaryota; Viridiplantae; Streptophyta; Magnoliopsida; Poales; Poaceae
Description: long non-coding RNA (TAES_LNC007703)
Source: RNAcentral
CUGUCGGGGGGCUCGCUGGCGCCUCCGAGCACCUAUGGGGCACUUGGGGGCCCCUUCUGGUUCGGCAGGGGAGCGAGGGCCGCGCGCAGAGCAGAUCGAGGUCCGGCGCACGCGUGGGGAGACGGGCAAUCUUUACCCAGCUUUGGGGCUCUCCGGAGAGAUAACACCCCUACUGCUGCUCUGUGUUGUUAUUCGAUCUAGCUCGAGCGUGCGAGUGAAAAGGGGAGCUGUGGGUGUCGAAUGGACCGAACCCCCUCUACGUGCGCAUGGGCCUCCCUUUUAUAGUCUGAAGGGGGUACCCACAGGUGGCAGCGUAGGAAGAGGGGGUAGAAACGUAAAAGCGCAGGUUGGUACAACAGUGCACAACAGUGCCCCUACCUAACUCUGACGGCAGGGGACAAGGGCAUUAAAUGCCCGUCCGGUCGCCCAACAGUGCAGGUGGAGUGACCGUUAAGUGAGCCUCCGGGUGCCACGAUGGCGCCUCUGUCAGCUCCGUUUGCCACCUCGCUCUGCAUGGUUGCGUAGUAUCUCGCCACGUGCUCUUGGGAUGGCCUGGUGAUGACGCGUCACAGGGUGCGCUGGAGUUGGGUGGCAGCCUUGCCGCAGCAAGUGCCUUGCCGCGGUCCCUUUGUUGUGCCGGCAAGCUUGCCGGCCAUUGGACCUUGCCGGGGCGCGCGGGGCGCCGCGGCAAGUUUUCUGGUGAUGCCAUGGUUAGCCCUCCCGGGAAGUUCCUCUUGCCGGGGCCUUCGUGUUCUUGGCUGGUACUUUGUUCUUGAAUGGCAGUGAUAAGGAGUGGUGGGGAGCCUUGCCGGACGUCAGGCGAGCCUUGCCGCGGGGUGCUGCGACUGCCCGUGCACAAGUUCGGGGUACUAAGGUGCCCCCCUACUUUAGUACACCGACAGGAGCCCCCGGGCCUGGGCCAUACACGGUGCCGAGCGUUGUUGGGCCAGGCCCAAGACAGUGCACGGGCACACGUGGCCUGGGUCCGCACAGCAACGGGCUCCGCACCCACCGCGCUUUCCCGCAACGGCACGCGUCGAUUGCGGCGUCGUGGGAGACGUGGGUGGCGGAUGCGCCCUUUAAGGCAUCCACACCCGUGAUCGUGGUGCAGGGCGAGGUCUUUUCACCCGUCGCCCCGGCCCUGCUUUUUCGCCACGCGGCCCUCAUGCAUGGGGGUCGUGGGCGGCGAAGGUGGGAGGCCGAGCCGUCACGGGCGAAGAUGGUGGGUCGGCCCCGCUCCUCUAUCCCUCUCGCUUUCCGAUUGACUGGGCGGGGCGGCUGAGCCCCCACCUCGUCCUUUAAAAGGGGCGGAAGGGGAGCACAAUAGUCUCGCACCUCCUCUCUUCCCUUCGUCUUCAAGUUCCGUUACUCUUCCUCCCAUCUGCUAUGGAGGGAGGGAAUCCUAGUCCUUCUACGGUGGCAGCAAGGGUCGCCUCCAGGCAGCGCGCCUCUCCCUAUCCUGCAGCCGUGGCGGCGGAGCCGACCACGAGGGGGAGAGGUAGGGGGUGGGGCCGCGGACGGGGCCGAGGACGUGGUCGAGGCGGUCGGGGGAGAGGCGGCCGGGGCGAUGCGCCUCCCCCGUCUCCGCCGGCGGCUCCUUUCCUCGAGGCGGUCCAUACUAGAGACGAUCCCUGGGAGUUCUUCAUCAAGCUGCGCCGAGUGCCUCGUCGUCGCCUCCGGCUGCCGGCCCCGUUCGCGAGUGCGAUGGAACCGGAUCCGCCCGAGGUGAUGGAGUUGCGCAUGAGGGGCUGCGGGAUCAGCGGCACUCGAGUGAGUGUCGUGUCCCCAGCCCCCGGUGUGAUGUACUUCGACCGAGGGUGGAAGACGUUCGCCCGCAUCCACAGCUUGACGGCGGGGUUUACCCUCCAUUUCAAGCUAAUGGAGGGCGACCUUCUCGCCGUCAAGGUCUUCGGGGACUCCGGGACCCGGGCGAGAUGCUGUGUGGACAGCUCCUCCGAUAGCGAAGGUCUCUCCUCGAGCGAGAGUGACGAGGAGGGGAGCGACAGCGACGACGACGAGGAUGGCGGGUCCGACUAGGCGUCGGACGCUGCCUCGCGCGCCACCGGCGACCCCAUCAGCCGGGUCGCCGGCCUUCUGAACUCCCCGGGGCCGUCUCCUUGGGCGGCUGGCGUAGGGAGGCUGCGGAAGAGGAAGAGGGGUGGCGGCAAGGCCGUCAAAUUGGAGUACGAGGGCGAGGAGCCCUCGUCAGCGUGCUGACGUCCCACCACCCCGUCUUCAAGCUCUGCCUCCGGCGUCUCCGUCUCCGCCAAGCUCCUGGCCGGCCCCCUGGAAGUUCUCUUGGUGUCUUCUGGUGCCCGUAGCUCUCCUAGGCGCCCCCUUUGCCCUUCCCGGCGAGCUUCUCUCGCCAGGGCCUCCUUGAUCUACCUCCUGAACAGAGAAAGAGGAGAGGGAUUAUGGGCAUCUCAUCUUUCAAUUUGUAAGCCCUUGGGCCUUAGUUGUAUUUAAAAUCUGUAAUCCUCUCUAUCAUGUUUUUCAUCCUCCAUGGACUUGUACUAAACUAGGAUGUUUUUAAUGAAAAGAGGGGAACGCUUGUCGGACUAGGCCCUUUACUUGAUUUGGUGUCUUGUACGUUCCCACCCUACGCUUCUAGGGGACUUGCCGGAGCGAGCACACUUGCUGAGUGCGGGACAUCAGCAGCCCGCUGGCGGUGUCGCUUCGGCAAGCAACCUUGCCGGGCCAGUUGCACCGCACUUGUGUUUGUUGAGCGGACUCGGAAACAAAUCAAGGGCGCAACUGGGCCACGGCUCGGUUCCUCCGCGCAUGGGUUUUACAAGACACGCUCGUUCAAGGACGCGGUCCCGCCUUCCCCAGCCCAUAGGAGGAUGCAUGACGAGGGAUGAAAAACUUAUCUGACUCCACAGCCUUCCGGCGCUAUUAUCCAGGCCGGGAUGGAAUCUUGGCAUUCACAGCCCCCGGCAACUCUGGCUCCGCCAAAAUCUAGGUGCUGGUGUGCUCUCUUUUACCCUUGUUGCCGACGCCGUGGCCGCCGAGGGCUCUGGCCCGUCGCGAAGGGUCUCGGGAACUUGUAGCCCCCAGCGAGGUUGGCUUGCCGGGGCCGGUGCGCUCUUCUGGUUUCUCCUUGUCGCUGUAAUUACAGCCAUGAAAACAGCUGAGAUAGUACUGCAACAAUUUCAUUAUCUAUAUAUAUAAUUUUUUUUUGUGCGACUUCGCAAAACGAUGUCGUGCCUUGCCCUUCGUAUGUUUAUACUCUACGCUGCUAGGGAACUUGCCGGUGCUAACACACUUGCUGAGUACGGUACAUCAGCAGCCUGCUGGCGGUGUUGUCUCCGGCAAGAAACCUUCUCGGGCCAGUUGCAGUGCACUCGAGUUGUUGAGCGGACUCGGAAACAAAUCAAGGACGCAACUCAGCCGUGAGUUGGUUCCUCCGCGCACAAGUUUCUCAUAUGAAGGGCGCCUUACGGCAAGGCUUGCUAUGUUACGCCCUCUGCUUGUUAUAUCCUUUGUGCGUUUUUACCCUAUGCUUCUAGGGAACUUGCCGGUGCUAACACACUUACUGAGUACGAGACAUCAGCAGCCCGCUGGCGGUGUUGUUUCUGGCAAGAAACCUUCUCGGGCCAGUUGCAGUGCACUUGCGUUGUUGAGCGGACUCGGAAACAAAGCAAGGACGCGACUUAACCACGAGUUGGCUCCUUCUGCGUGUAGGCAUUGCGUACAAAGGACGAACGCGCAAGGGGCAUAACAUGAAAGGAACAUGGAACUAAUGGGUAUGAUGUACAAAAAACUCGGAUGACUUAGCUUUUUUUUAACAUCCCGCUGAGGUCGUACUUCUUCCCCGAUCCUUUCCCCUUGUAUGUUCUUGUCCCUAAGCUGUUGGGGAAUCCACCGGCGCAAACAUGCUUGCUGAGCGCAGGGCAUCAGCGGCUCGCUGGCGGUGCUGCCUCCGGCAGGAAGAACUUGUCGGGCUGGUUGCGGUGUGCUUUUAUCAUCGAGCGGACUCAAGAUGAAUCGACGGNNNNNNNNNNNNNNNNNNNNNNNNNNNNNNNNNNNNNNNNNNNNNNNNNNNNNNNNNNNNNNNNNNNNNNNNNNNNNNNNNNNNNNNNNNNNNNNNNNNNNNNNNNNNNNNNNNNNNNNNNNNNNNNNNNNNNNNNNNNNNNNNNNNNNNNNNNNNNNNNNNNNNNNNNNNNNNNNNNNNNNNNNAGGUUCUUCAUACAAGGUAUGGAUUUUCAGGGAGUAUGACCCAAAAGUUCGAAGCUUGGCAUCCUUCUCUGCCCUACUGGUCGGUGGACUGGUUGGCGGAGCUCGAUGGUGCGUCCUCGACGACAGCGUGGCGCUCCGGGGAGAUGCGCCUGCCGGAGUGUGCACCAGAGCCGGAGCCAUCCUUGCCGGGCUUAGUCUUUGGCUGGUCUGUCUUCGCCUUCUCGUACUUGCUGGUGGAGCUCGAUGGUGCGUCCUCGAUGGUAGCGCAGCGCUCCGGGGAGAUGCGCUUGCCGAGGUGUGCUCCAGAGCUAUCCUUUCCGGACUUGGUCUUCUUCUUCCCCCGGGGAGCUUCAGCGGCAAGUGGCUCGCGCUCUGCCGCAGCAGCUGCUUCCCGGUAGAUCUCGUCGGCGCAGAUGAGUGCAUCCUUCUUGUCACCUUGGAUAGAGAUGACGCUCAUCGGGCCAGGCAUUUUGAGCACAUUGUAUGCGUGGUGAGAGGCCUCCAUGAACUUGGCGAGUGCGGGUCGACCGAGUAUCCCAUUGUAGGGCAAAGGAAUAUCAGCCACAUCGAAUGUGACCCUCUCAGUCCUGAAGUUCAGCUCGCUGCCGAACAUCACCGGUAAUGUGAUCUUCCCCUUGGGCUGGCUCCUUCCUGGGUUUAUUCCUUGAAAGGUGCCAGUCUCUUCUAGCUCGCUGUCGGGGAUCUGGAGAUUUUUGAGCACUGCGGAGGAAAUCAAGUUCAGGCCGGCCCCGCCGUCAACCAACAUCUUCGUGACCUUGAGGUUGCGGAUCGUUGGUGAGACCAACAGCGGCAAGCACCCGACCGCAGUGAUGCGAUCAGGGUGAUCCUCAACGUCGAAGAUGAUGGGCGUGCUGGACCACUUCAGAGGCCUGCGCGCCUCGACGGACGGCUCCGCUGCGUUCACUUCUUGCACCCACUGUUUGAGUCGGCGGUGCAAGGUGUGUAGGGAGGCGCCGCCGUCGACGCACAAUACUUCUGUUGCCUUCUAAAACUCUUGAUCCUCAGCCUCAUCCUCCUCCAUCUCAUCAUCUUCGUCUUCAUCCUCGUCUUUGUCGCAGCCGUGGGGAGGCCUGUCUCCUUGCCGCGGCUUGGCCUUGCCGUGGUUCCCUCCCUGGGCGGGAAGCUUCUUGCCGGAUCCUCCGCCACCUCCCUGGGCUCUCUCCUUAUCGCGGCGCUCGUACUCAGCUUUCUGCAGCUCCGCCAUCUGCUCUACUUUUUUGCAGGUUUGGAGGUCAUGGCCUUUGGUGCGGUGGAUCUUGCAAUAACACUUGCUGGAGCCGUCCUGCUUGUCGGCGGCCGCUACAGCCUCGCCGGAGUCGUCGGUCUUGGCUUUGUCGGAGCCGCCUCCAUUGCCGGAAUGCUCAACAGCUAGCACAUCCUUAGCUUUCCUCUUCCUAUUGUUCCGCCUCCGGUUCCUUCUUGCCGGGGCAGCGUCCUCGCUGUCAGAUCCUUCUACUUCGGCAACCUCUCCGGGGAUUUUCCUCCCCUCUUCAGCCCGUGCACACUUGUCGGCGAGAGCGUAGAGCUCGCUGACAUCUCUGAUCUUUAUCAUCGCCAUCUCCUCCCUCAUCCUGCGGUUACGCACGUUCUGAUGAAACGCGCUGAUAACCGCGGCAGGGUGGAUGUCCGGAAUGUUGCGCUGCACCUGGCUGAAUCUUUGUAUAUACUUGCGCAGGGGCUCCCCCUCCUUCUGGACGAGCAAAUGGAGGUCACUUUCCUGGCCAUGAGGCUUGUGGCCGCCCGUGAAGGCGCCGACAAAUUGAUGACACAGGUCCGCCCAUGAAGAGAUGGAGCCGUCCGGCAAGUGCAUGAGCCAAGAUCUGACGUUGGGCUUGAGUACCAGCGGGAAGUAGUUGGCGAGGAUCUUCUCGUCGUGCCCUCUGGCAGUGCUGAGGAACUCCGACGGGUGUAUCCUGCCAUCAUACUUCUCGGGAACAUCUGGUUUGAAGUUUUUAGUUUUGGGCCACUGGACUUGCCGCAGCUCGCGGGUGAACGCAGGGCAACCUGCCGCAUAUGGCAAGUCGCCUGGUUCUCCGGAUGCGUGCGCGUCGACAGCGGGCCCGGCGCGCUGGUCAGAUUGACGUCGCGCUUCUCUCCGGCGCUCGAUGCGAGUGCGAGCGUCUUCGUGUUGCCGUUCUUGGAGAACGUGGCGCUGAUCCCGGCGAGUUCGCGGGUCCGAUGACGCGGUGGAGUCGGCGUCAAGGUUGGUCCGGCGAGCUGGCGAUCUUGGCCUGUGGGGCUGGGAGCGCACGGAAGCGGUACCCCCAGCGGUCCUGUCGGCGCCGUCCUGCGCCGGGGCGUCUUGUCGGGCCCUCGACGCGUUCGGUCGCCGGGGCUUGUCGCCAUUGGCGAAGCUGACGAGGCUGUGUAUGGCCAUCCUCCAGUCGUCGAUCUUGUGUGGCGCUGGAGGGAAGUCUAGAAGCAGCUGGGCUCGGGCCAGCGCUUCCUCUGCAGUCUUGGGCAGCGGUGGUGACGGGCGGCGCGAGGAGCGAGAUGUGAUCGGACUCCCAACCGGGUUGGGAGGAGCAACACCCCGUCCAGGCGACCGUACUUCACUUGCACCAGCAUGCGGUCGUGCAUGCUAACCGCGAGCGUCCCGCAACCCACCGGCUUGGCCUUGCUCCAACGCAAGCACGGUGCUUGGAGCACCGGGGCGUUGUUGACCUUGAACCUCUUGGGAAGGGCGCGGCGUCUGCACUGUCGCUGACGCUUGCGGGGCCUUGUUCCUGGAUCUGGUGACGACACGAGACCCACCGGCGGCACCCGCUGCCCCGCCGGCGUCCACCUCACCGCCUGCUUGCUCCGGCGGUGGUGGUGGAACUGAUGUAGACGGAGCGGCCACCUCCGAAGGCUUCUUCUUCGGUGGCAUGUUGACGAUGACGCUGAUGUAGUGCGCGUGGAGACCGGAUCAGAUGCUCACGACCUCGACGCCCCCUACCUGGCACGCCAAAGAUGUCGGGGGGCUCGCUGCCGCCUCCGAGCACCUAUGGGGCACUUGGGGGCCCCUUCUGGUUCGGCAGGGGAGUGAGGGCCGCCCGCAGAGCAGAUCGAGGUCCGGCGCACGCGCGGGGAGACGGGAAAUCUUUACCCAGCUUCGGGGCUCUCUGGAGAGAUAACACCCCUACUGCUGCUCUGUGUUGUUAUUCGAUCUAGCUCGAGCGUGCGAACGAAAAGGGGAGCUGUGGGUGUCGAAUGGACCGAACCCCCUCUACGUGCGCAUGGGCCUCCCUUUUAUAGUCUGAAGGGGGUACCCACAGGUGGCAGCGUAGGAAGAGGGGGUAGAAACGUAAAAGCGCAGGUUGGUACAACAGUGCACAACAGUGCCCCUACCUAACUCUGACGGCAGGGGACAAGGGCAUUAAAUGCCCGUCCGGUCGCCC